This 1210-nucleotide long non-coding RNA is filed under the name Brassica napus (rape). RNAcentral's name for it is "long non-coding RNA (BNAP_LNC000702)". Lineage: Eukaryota; Viridiplantae; Streptophyta; Magnoliopsida; Brassicales; Brassicaceae. The record is from RNAcentral.
GAGCAUACGUACGAACACGAUUAAGGACUGACAGAAACAACCAACAAAUAGAAAAACAAAUUACAUUUAUGACUUUUCCAAUAAAAGAUCUUGAACAGUUCCGUUUUGAUUAAGACUUCCGUUUUGUUUAGCCACAGGUUUCGCACCCAACUUUUCCACAAACUCUUCAAGAUUCCGAUCCGACGAACCACCGCGAGCCACCGCCGCUUCCGCCUCCUCCUUCCAUUUCAAAGCAUUCUUUUUCAGCUCCGUCGCCUUCUCUCCUUUAGCAACUUCUCUCAGCCUCUCGGCCACUUCCUCCCUUGGCACCACCCUCUCCUCUGUCUCUCCACGGCCGAGUCUCACUCCCGUCUUUGUAACGUCUAUCAUGUAAACCGCGUCCGUGACUUGAUCUCCCCACUGAGGCAAACAAACCGUUGGGACACCACAACUUCCAAAGAUUCGAGACGUUAAUGAUACAUAUUGAUAAUCCUGGUUAUCUGAGAUUCUGAGUUUCAAAGUUUGUGAAUUGCGGAAAUUACUAGAAAUAUACAUGCAAAACCCAUAUUUGAUUCUAUUUGUUUUUUCGUUUUAAGAAUGUCUUGUAAUCUCCAAUCGGAUUAUUGAUAAACGUAUAUUAAUAGUACUAUAUAAUAAUAUAAUUACUGUAUACCAUUAACUCUUUUACUUUACUUACUACCUUUUUUUUUUUUGGUCAAAUACUUUACUUACUAGCUAGAUCAAUCUUUUAUGUCGGCUAAAGGGGAAUGAGUGCCGAAUAUUACUAGGUUUUAGCAAUUUUGGUUUUGCAUGGUACAGAACGUUCUAUACAAACUCUUUUCCUGAUUUAGCAACAAAACAAGAGAAUUAAUCAUAAUAUAACAUAAUACGCGAACUAAACAUUGUUCCAGAAGGAUAAUAAGUCUCCCUUAGACCCUUACAAGAAAACAAAAUACAAAGAACGACGAGGAGCAUACAUACGAACACAAUUAAGGACUGACAGAAACAACCAACAAAUAGAAAAACAAAUUACAUUUAUGACUUUUCCAAUAAAAGAUCUUGAACAGUUCCGUUUUGAUUAAGACUUCCGUUUUGUUUAGCCACAGGUUUCGCACCCAACUUUUCCACAAACUCUUCAAGAUUCCGAUCCGACGAACCACCGCGAGCCACCGCCGCUUCCGCCUCCUCCUUCCAUUUCAAAGCAUUCUUUUUCAGCUCCGUCGCCUUCUCU